ACGAACCUUCGGGUUAGUGGCGGACGGGUGAGUAACUUUCUACAAUCUGCCCUCAGGAAGGGGAUAACGGCUGGAAACGGCCGCUAAUACCCCAUAUGCCGCGAGGUGAAAUGAGUUUCGCCUGAGGAUGAGCUCGCGUCUGAUUAGCUAGUUGGUGGGGUAAGAGCCUACCAAGGCGACGAUCAGUAGCUGGUCUGAGAGGAUGAUCAGCCACACUGGGACUGAGACACGGCCCAGACUCCUACGGGAGGCAUCAUUGGG
RNAcentral lists this ribosomal RNA (261 nucleotides) under uncultured bacterium. RNAcentral's name for it is "partial 16S ribosomal RNA". It matches the Rfam family "Bacterial small subunit ribosomal RNA", at positions 66 to 358 of the family's 1533-position model. The record is from RNAcentral.